Molecule: long non-coding RNA, 897 nt
Organism: Leopardus geoffroyi (Geoffroy's cat)
Lineage: Eukaryota; Metazoa; Chordata; Mammalia; Carnivora; Felidae
Exons: 3
Source: RefSeq, a predicted model, not a curated record
CCCUCUUCUCUCUUGUCUCCCUCACACCAGCCACGAAGGUUUUCAAAGGAAAUAUGACUCGAAAAUACCUUAGAGUGCCAUGAAAGCUAAAGGACAAAGCUAAAAUCCACCUAAGAGCACACCAAACAGGAUCAACAAGAAUUGAAGAUGCCCGUCCUGUUUCAAAAGCAAGGGGAGGAGCCCAAGGCAGAUCUGUUAUCAUUUGUCUUUCCUCUUCAUUACAAGAAAAGAAAAAGAAAAGGAGAAAAGUUGGAAAGCGACUCAGUAAAAGAAAGAAAGGACUGACCACCCUUUCCGAUAGCAGGAACUGAAAGUUGUCUGUUACCUGUAACCCUUCGGUUUAUGGUAAGACAAUAACCCAGGCCCCGUGGCUUCUGCUUUACUGUGAUUGUUCCAUCUUUUCCCUUAGUGAAAAAUUCUCUUUGAGUAAGUUCUCUUCAAUGACUCAAGCCCUCUAGAUAUGGUAAUAGGUUCCUCCCCUAGGGAGAUUUUUGAAUACAAAAGCCAGAGUCUUCCUUCUUUGAGCCAAACUCCCCUCUAGAAAUGAGGCAGAACAUCACAGAAAGAAAGCUCCUGUGGCCUGCUGAGGAUGCGGGGCACAGCCCCACAGCUCCAAUCAGCCAGUGACCUUUCACAAGAAGACAAACACGCAGAGAAGCACCGCCACGUUGGUGCCAGCGUUACACAAGCACAGCAGGUGCAUCCACGCCCUUCUGGUGCCACAGCCUGAGGUGGACACACCCAGCCUCUCCCACUCACGGGGCCACCCGGGCUUGUCUGAAUUCAAAUCAGUAGAAGCUCAUUGCCAUGGGGAUAUAGGUGAGAUCUAGGUUUGAUGCCAAUCAACAUAUGCAUGAUUGCCCAACAAGGAAAAUAAAGAAGUAAAGCAAACAUAGG